Molecule: ribosomal RNA, 460 nt
Filed under: uncultured bacterium
Lineage: Bacteria
Description: partial 16S ribosomal RNA
Rfam family: Bacterial small subunit ribosomal RNA
Source: RNAcentral
CCUACGGGCGGCAGCAGUGAGGAAUAUUGGUCAAUGGACGGAAGCCUGAACCAGCCAUGCCGCGUGCAGGAAGACGGCUCUAUGAGUUGUAAACUGCUUUUGUACAAGGGUAAACAUGAAUAUGUGUAUUCAGCUGACAGUACUGUAAGAAUAUGGAUCGGCUAACUCCGUGCCAGCAGCCGCGGUCAUACGGAGGAUCCAAGCGUUAUCCGGAUUUAUUGGGUUUAAAGGGUGCGUAGGCGGAUAGGUAAGUUAGUGGUGAAAUGUACGGGCUUAACAUGGGAACUGCCUCUGAUACUGUUGGUCUAGAGUGUAGGAGCGGUAGGCGGAAUGUCUGGUGUAGCGGUGAAAUGCUUAGAUAUCAUACAGAACACCGAUUGCGAAGGCAGCUUACCAAACUAUAUCUGACGUUGAGGCACGAAAGCGUGGGGAGCAAACAGGAUUAGAUACCCGAGUAGUC